This 1172-nucleotide ribosomal RNA is filed under the name Stylogaster neglecta. RNAcentral's name for it is "eukaryotic LSU rRNA". It matches the Rfam family "Eukaryotic large subunit ribosomal RNA", at positions 89 to 940 of the family's 3401-position model. The record is from RNAcentral. Lineage: Eukaryota; Metazoa; Arthropoda; Insecta; Diptera; Conopidae.
GCGAGCGAAAAGAAAACAGUUCAGCACUUAGUCACUUUGUUUAAUUAACAAAUGUGAGAUGCAGUGUAUGGAAUAUCGAUAAUCUAAUAUGAAAAAUUCAAUGAUUUAAGUCCUUCUUAAAUGAGGCCAUUUACCCAAAGAGGGUGCCAGGCCCGUAUAACAUGAAUGAUUAUUAGAAGAUAUUUCCAAAGAGUCGUGUUGCUUGAUAGUGCAGCACUAAGAGGGUGGUAAACUCCAUCUAAAACUAAAUAUUACCAUGAGACCGAUAGUAAACAAGUACCGUGAGGGAAAGUUGAAAAGAACUCUGAAUAGAGAGUUAAAUAGUACGUGAAACUGUUUAGAGGUUAAGCCCGAUGAACCUGAAUAUCCAUUAUGAGAGAUUCAUCAUUUUUGGCUAUUUUUAAUAUUUAUUCAAAUAUUAAUAUAGUUAAAAUGUGCAUUUCUUUCAUAUAAGGACAUUGUAAUCUAUUAAUACAAGAAAUUUAUCAUAAGAUCAAUGAGCAAUAAGUUUAUUCAAUUGAAAUUGUUUUAUUACAAUUUUCAUAUUGAAUUUCAAAUGCUUUUGAUUUGAUAAAGUAUUGAUAGAUUUUAUUAAUAUGGUGUUAAAAUUAUUAAAUCUUUAAUAAUUUUACAAUGAGUUUUUCUUCCGUUGUUAAAAUGGAGAAAAAUUUCUAUUGUAUACACUAAUAUUAUGAUUAACAAUGCGAUAGAUUCAGGAUACCUUCGGGACCCGUCUUGAAACACGGACCAAGGAGUCUAACAUAUGUGCAAGUAAUUGGCCAAAUUACAAUAAAAUGAAAGUCCAUAGGCGAAAUUAACUUGACUAAUAUAUAUAUAUUAUAUUAAUAUAGAUUUUAAUCUAUUUAAUAUUGAUAUAUAUAUAAUGGGAUUAAUUUUUAGAUUUGAUAGAAAAAAAUUUUAUUUUUGAUAUCAGUCUAUUAAUUCAAUCCCAGGGCGUUCUAUUAAAGUUUAAUGUAUAAUAUAAUUUUAUAAUGAAAUUAUUUAUACCUCUAAACUAGAACGUACCUUGAGCAUAUAUUAUGUGACCCGAAAGAUGGUGAACUAUACUUGAUCAGGUUGAAGUCAGGGGAAACCCUGAUGGAAGACCGAAACAGUUCUGACGUGCAAAUCGAUUGUCAGAAUUAAGUAUAGGGGUGAAAGGCCAAUCGAAC